CCUACGUGCGGCUGCAGUGAGGAAUAUUGGUCAAUGGGCGCGAGCCUGAACCAGCCAAGUAGCGUGAAUGAUGACUGCCCUACGGGUUGUAAACUUCUUUUAUAAAGGAAUAAAGUGAGGCACGUGUGCCUUUUUGUAUGUACUUUAUGAAUAAGGAUCGGCUAACUCCGUGCCAGCAGCCGCGGUAAUACGGGGGAUCCGAGUGUUAUCCGGGUUUAGUGGGUUUAAAGGGUGCGCAGGCGGAGUUUUAAGUCAGCGGUCAAAUCGGGGGGCUAAACCCCAUCCAGCCGUUGAAACUGGGGAUCUAGAGUGUGCGAGAGGUAUGCGGAAUGCGUGGUGUAGCGGUGAAAUGCAUAGAUAUCACGAAGAACCCCGAUUGCGAAGGCAGCAUACCGGUGCACAACUGACGCUCAGGCACGAAAGCGUGGGUAUCGAACAGGAUUAGAUACCCUUGUAGUC
This 459-nucleotide ribosomal RNA is filed under the name uncultured bacterium. RNAcentral's name for it is "partial 16S ribosomal RNA". It matches the Rfam family "Bacterial small subunit ribosomal RNA", at positions 338 to 795 of the family's 1533-position model. The record is from RNAcentral.